AUUGAACGCUGGCGGCAGGCUUAACACAUGCAAGUCGAGCGGGGGAAGGUAGCUUGCUACUGGACCUAGCGGCGGACGGGUGAGUAAUGCUUAGGAAUCUGCCUAUUAGUGGGGGACAACAUCUCGAAAGGGAUGCUAAUACCGCAUACGUCCUACGGGAGAAAGCAGGGGAUCUUCGGACCUUGCGCUAAUAGAUGAGCCUAAGUCGGAUUAGCUAGUUGGUGGGGUAAAGGCCUACCAAGGCGACGAUCUGUAGCGGGACUGAGAGGAGGAUCCGCCACACUGGGACUGAGACCCGGCCCAGACUCCUACGUGAGGCAGCAGUCGGGAAUAUUGGACAAUGGGGGGAACCCUGAUCCAGCCAUGCCGCGUGUGUGAAGAAGGCCUUAUGGUUGUAAAGCACUUUAAGCGAGGAGGAGGCUACUUUAGUUAAUACCUAGAGACAGUGGACGUUACUCGCAGAAUAAGCACCGGCUAACUCUGUGCCAGCAGCCGCGGUAA
This 501-nucleotide ribosomal RNA is filed under the name uncultured bacterium. Its description in RNAcentral is "partial 16S ribosomal RNA". It matches the Rfam family "Bacterial small subunit ribosomal RNA", at positions 30 to 523 of the family's 1533-position model. The record is from RNAcentral.